Molecule: transfer RNA, 62 nt
Filed under: Neotoma lepida (desert woodrat)
Lineage: Eukaryota; Metazoa; Chordata; Mammalia; Rodentia; Cricetidae
Rfam family: tRNA
About the family: Transfer RNA (tRNA) molecules are approximately 80 nucleotides in length. Their secondary structure includes four short double-helical elements and three loops (D, anti-codon, and T loops). Further hydrogen bonds mediate the characteristic L-shaped molecular structure. tRNAs have two regions of fundamental functional importance: the anti-codon, which is responsible for specific mRNA codon recognition, and the 3' end, to which the tRNAs corresponding amino acid is attached (by aminoacyl-tRNA synthetases). tRNAs cope with the degeneracy of the genetic code in two manners: having more than one tRNA (with a specific anti-codon) for a particular amino acid; and 'wobble' base-pairing, i.e. permitting non-standard base-pairing at the 3rd anti-codon position.
Source: Rfam by way of RNAcentral
UGUAGCUCAGUUGGUAGAGUGCUUGUCUAGCAUGCAUGAAGCCCUGGGUUCAAUCCCAAGCA